CUAUCCCUGUCGCUCGAGCUUUAUGGCUCUUCCUGCCGUCGUGGCGUGGGGGAGAGCGUGUCGGACAGCCACGCCCCUUCCAGCCUCCGGGUCCCGCUCACUAGCAAGGGGCCGCUGCUGUGAAGCUCCGUUUGUCUGGGAAACGGGGCAGGAAAUGCCAAGGUCCGGGGGUUUGGGGCAGCCUGGCGGCUGUGUUGUGCUUCGAUUCUCGCCCGGCCGUGGGAGUGAGGCGGGGGUCGGGCGGAGGGUUCCCGGAGCCGUGGCCUUGCUGUCGCCCGGGUCCCCGUAGGGGCGUGUGUGCAGGCCUCUGGCCCCGCCGCGGGGCAGCACGCCCUCGCCUCUUCGUGCAGCCUAAUUCUGGAGAAGGGUGGUGUGGUCCUUAGCACUUCGCAGCGUUCUCGUUUCUUAUUAACUUCCUGCUUCAUUUGUCACCUCCCGUUAGAAUGGAACCCCGGGCAAGAAUUGUCUUUUCUUUUCCUCUUUCUGUCCCCGACGCUUCUCCCGGUGUCUGGCCUUGAGAAUGUUUAUGAGAAAAUGUUAGCAAGAGCGUUCGUCUCCAUGUGCCUUUAUGGACAACUCCAGAAGGGCCGCUCCAUCAGCUUCUCGCGCUGACCUUUUCAAAUUCCAGCGCCUUAAAAUUAGUGUAGGGGCCUCCCUGGGGGUCCAGUGGUCAAGAAUCCGCCUUGCAGUGCAGGGGACGCGGGUGCCAUCCGUGGUCGGGAGCUAAGCUCCCACGUGCCGCCGCGCAGCCAAAAAAAGAAAAACAGUUACUGUAAAAUGUUAAUUUCUUAUGAGUUGAUGUCCUUCGGUUUCAUGGUGUUUAUCCGUUCUGUUUCCCUGAAGAUCCAGAAGGGCUCAGCACAUAACCUCUGGGCCCCUUGAUAAAUAACAGUUGAAGUAAACUCUUCCCUAACCCAGUCUCAUUUCCGGGCUGCAAGCUGGUAACUUUGACUUUGCCUCCAAAUAUCAAAGGAUACAUAAUAAUUAAAAUUUUUAUUCUGAUUUACUAGCUUAAAAGCAGGUUCUAGCUUAUUAUUCCAAAAAUUGUCACUUUUACACCGUAACCUCAUAACCAUUCUUACCAAGGUGAAUAUCCUGAUUAACUAGGCAGCAUAACUAAGCACUGCUACUUGGCUGUCAGACUUUGGGGGGUUCAAAUUCAAUCUCUAAUAGAUACUAUCCUGUGACUUUGGACAAAUUACGUAGCCUCUCUGCCUCAGUUUCCUCAUCUAAAUCUGGGUAACAAUAUGUAUAUUUUAAGGCUUUUAUGAGGAUUAAGUGAAUUACCUAGGUGUUUUAGUAUCGGACACACAGUAAGUACUCAAUAAGUGUAAGCAAUUACUAACCAUAAAUAGCCAAUACUUUAUUAUAAUAAUUACUAAUAUCAGCAUAUUUUAAAAUGAAGUUAAAACUGCAAAGGUGCUUUGAGGCUGCCUCUGCAUUCUUAGAAAAUAGAACAUGAUUCUUCCUGUUAUACAGGUUUUUGGGUGUAAGAGACUAAUCCAAAUGUUACUCUCACUGUGUCUAGAGUUUUCACAGUAAAGUAACAGCUUUAAAUAAACUGUCAUAUUCCUCGAACCAACCCGAAUAACAGAAUCAUACCUUUGAAAACCUCUCCAGAACUGAUCUCCAGUGAGAAGAUAAAUCCUCCUAGAAGACAACGUGUCAGUCUACUUAGUUAAGACAGGGCUUCUGAGUUCUGAAGUCUUGCCCAUGUGUAGCUAGAACAGAGCCAAGACUAUGCACUAUCUCUGAAGACUAAGGACACAAUUUCAUCCCAAGAGAGGGAAGAAUAUUAUUCCGAAGAGCCUAUUACUGUUUCUGUCUGUUCUUCGUUAAGUGUGGCAGGAUAAUAUUAACAGGUUGCCUCCUCCAGCCACUGUCCUCUUCUCUCGAUGUUUUUGUGCAUCACUCCACCCCAAAUGAGCAGCUAGGCAUUCUGUGCUUAUUGCUUUAAGGGAAGAUGUGACAGCAAAGAAAGCGUCCUUCCUGGCUUUGGUGUUGCAAAAGGCUUGGCUUUACAGGAACAAAAAAGACUCCUGGCAGAGCAAGAGAUUUGGAUAAAACAUGUUUUGUAAGAGCCUGGCUUUCUACUCGCAGAAGAAACUAAAACAAACCCAUCUCCUGUGCUGGGGACCAAGGAGGCUGUGAGUGGUACAGGCAAGAGAGAAGGAGGGGGGCAGUGGGGGCCGGUCUCCACUGUCCCCGAGAUAGGGAGUCUGAACCAAGCUCCCCAGUCCCAUCCUUGGGACACUGCAGACCUCCAUAUUUGGGUUUGUGAGAUCCGAGAGCAGGAGGAAGGUGUGCCCAGAGACCUGAGCACCGCCCAGGAAGGCAGUGGGCCCAGAGAGAGAAUAUGGACUCAUGGGACGCCUGGUGUGAGUAGGUAGGUGGCAACUAGAUGGACUCUUAAAGACCUUCUGGGCCCUAACGUGGAAUGCGAGCAAAACGGUGUCCCUGUAUAUCCAGGUGUGCCGUGGAAGAAGAAAGACACGUCCACACUUCAAGGGAGCUUGCAGAAGGGAACUCUGAGCCCAGCAGAGGCUGGGGAAACUGAUGACUGCAUUAAGAUGCUGUGUUUCUCACUGGAUGCCCAUGUAGACAGAUGGCAUUGGAAACCAGAGGCUCCCAACCUAAACGCUCGUCACCAAACUAGACAUUCUCAAAUUUAGAUCCAGCUGCGGGGUUGGUGGGAGAUACCAGGAAUUGGCAGAGAUUAUGGUAUCACCAACCGUUUGGAAGAGGCAGUUCAAAACUGAACUUAAUUAAGGUGAGUUAUAGAAAAAUAAACUUGUGUUUGUACCUUCACAUGGGAAUAGGCUGUGAUAAGGACCCAGACCAGUUUGAAGUAACACCCAACCCCACUGUCAAAGGUAAAAAAUCAGAAAGGACACCAGGGACUGGGGAGAAAGCUUCAGGACCUUAGAUGUUAAGAGUCAGCCUCUGACAGCAAAGUCGGAACUCGGGGAAGAGGUCCACAUGCAGCUCUCUAAGGAGACAACAUGACUCUGCUCCUAGAAGGAGCGCUGGUGUGGAUGAGGUGGCAAGGUGUUGGAGAAGGUCCUCAGUAAGGACCCCUGCUCUGAGCCGCUCAGAGAAAUGGCUGCUUCCAGUGCAAGGUCAAUCGUUAAACAUUAGAGUGGAAAGGCAGCACGCAGGCUCUGCCUGCUAGAUGUGUGACUCUCUAAGGAUAAUUGUAGGUCUUCCAGGUGGGAACAUUGAACCAACGGAAGACCGCAGAUGCCACCAGGGGACAGCAGAGUCUCUGACAUGAGCAGAAAUCAUCCCACAGACAGAAAUGGUGCCAUGCGCUCUGGGCCUGAGGACCCCCAUGACAAGAUCCAUCCUCCAGGAGCUGGAGGGGAUGCAACAAAAAAGGGUAUUGGAUGACCGGUGCACAGUGACAACAGUAAGAGGGUUUGUGUCUACUCCUUUCCUGAGGAGUAAUAAGAUUCAUUCUAACUGUUUUCCAUUGCAAAAUGUGUAUUUCUCUGAUAGACCAAAACCAAUGAUACACUAAUGUGAACCCAAAAAACCAUUGUUGAAAUCCUUAGUAUUCCUUCUCUCUGAAGAAAAAUGUUCACAUUCAUCUACAAGGACUUCCUCAAAAUGGAUUUUAUAAUUAUCACAAACAGAAAUAAUACCAACACCUACUGCUCAUUGCUGUGUGCCAGCCUCUAUGCUGAGUGCUUUACAUAAUUAAUGUUAUUUAAUCCUCAACAUAACUGUGUCAUAGGUGAUCUUAACAUCCUAUUUUACUUACCAGGCAAAUAAGUGCUAGCGAGGUCACGAAAGUUGCCUGAUGUGGCCUCCUAAGACAAUUCACUAUGUACUAGAAAGAUGGAACCUGACACUGUAUCUUUAAACCUAUAAGAUUUAAACACUGUGUAAGAAACUCCAAGAUAUUUAAAGAGCCCCGAGCUCCUUGUGACAUCAGCACUGGACUUGGUUUAUCCUUCUAUAACUUGGCUUUGACCUGGCAUCUUAAACAGUUUAGGCUUCUAUACCUUUUGUAAGUCAUUAUCUAUAGAAUGUGAACCGAGGCAAAUAAAACACUUUUCCAUAGAAAAAGAAAACAAUAAUAAAAUUUCCUCCUAAUCACUUCGCAGAGAGAUUAGAGAGUUGGUGCCAGUCUUCUAGCAUCUCCAUGAAUUUCCCUAAUUCGGGGCAGAGAUUGAAGGCAAAAGAAACUAAUAGACAUGCAAGUAACAAAUCCUGGUGACUGACUGAAGGGUUACCCUAAGUAGAAGCAUCCAUAUAGAGAAGGUCUGUUAGGACCUUUUGAUUGACAGAGACUUUUGUGAUAUGUUGAGGAUUUAGGAUUAUCUCUAAAGAGGCAACGUAGGAUUUUUAGCAGGGUUAACAUUAAAAGAUUUGCAUUUUUAAAGAUUACUCCGGUUCUAGCAUGGAGAACAAAAUCAAAGGAGCCACAACAGAUGGAAGGAGGGCUGUGCACCACUUAGUAGUGGUGAGAGGUGACUCUAGCUUGUGCAACGAUGCUGAUAGUAAAGAUGGAUAAAAAUUGAUAGAUGAGAAAGCCAAAUGGGGAGGGAGGUGUGAAAUCAACAGUUCCAAGCAAUGGAUUGGAUAUGGGAUGUGACAGAGAAUGGAUGAGGGACAGACUACACCUGGAUAUGGGAAGGCUAUUUGCGAUUUAUGGUGGGAAACUGGAAGAAGAUAAUAUUUGAGUGGAAUAUCCUAAGUCUGGUCUUGGAUACGUUGAGUUUGAGGUACCCUUGAGACAUUCGAGUGGGGAUGUUGAAUAGUUAAUUGGAUAUAUCAUGGGGGAGGUCUAAGAUCAAGAUGGAAAUUUAGGGGUCAUUAGUAUACGGGUGACAAUUUCAUGGGGACAGGUGUGAUUUCGGGGGGAACAGAGCAGAGGGUGAGUAGAGAAGAGGUCCCAGGGCAGAGCCUUGAGGAACCACAGCAUUUAAAGGCCCAGGAGAGAAGGAUAUGUCUGAAAUGAAGGCAGAGAAGAAAAGUCGGAAACACAGCAAGGAAAGAAUGUGGUGUCUGGGAGCUCCCUGGCAGUCCAGUGGUUAGCACUCCACACUGUCACUGCCAAGAGCCUGGGUUCAGUCCCUGGUCGGGGAACUAAGAUCCCACAAGCUGUGCAGCGCAGCCAAAAAAAACCAAUGCGGUAUCAUGGAAAGAAAGAAUGUUUCAAGGAGAAAGUGAAAAACAGGUUGACAGGUAAAUGUGGGAGGUCAAGUAAAAAGAGGACUGAAAACAUCCACUGAAUAUAGUGACCACGGAGGUCUCUGAUGACCUCGCUCUGGCAUUAAUAAUCAAUGGUAUUACAUCUCUAGUGGAAUAAUUCAUGGUAGUAACAUUUAUUCCCAAUAAUCUUAACAUUAGUUUUAAUGUCCUUAAACUUACUGAAAAUGAUAAGUACAGUAUAGAAUUCCUGUAAACAUUUAAACGUCUUUGGAAAAAGAGGGUUUUUUUUCCCACAGCAUGAUCCAGUUCCUUUGGCAGAAUGGUUUGUGGGAAUUAAAAGAACUAACAUUGCUGAAUAUCUGCUGUGUGCCUGAUGCUUUCACAUGCCUUGUAAGCAUCGUCUGCAUCCUAGCGUCCAUGUCAACCAUUGUAGAUCAACACUGAUGGCUGGUGGUGACAGUCUGAAGUUCAAAAAGAAAGGAAUAUCUCACCUUGCUAAGAAGAAAGGUUUCAGAGAGGGUUAUGGCUUUCCUCAAAUCGCAACAAUGGAUCUAUUUAAGUCCUGGAACUCUGCUGGUUGCCCCAGAAAUCUGUACUACAAAGCAUCAUCCAAAAAAAAAAAGUCAACCUUGACUGUAAAAGCGGUGAGGCUGGUGUUUGAAUCCUUUUUCACAGAGGAGGAAACCAGGUAGAAGAAGCUAAAGAAUAUGUCCCAAGGCUAUGUUGUCAGAGCUGGCAGGCCGUGAAACAUGCUGGCUAGGUCAGCAAGAGCAUUGCUCUUUCUCUAUCUCGAUGUUUGGGAACAUCUACCAAUAAAACGGUUUUGUUUUUAUCAUUAGU
Aethalodelphis obliquidens (Pacific white-sided dolphin) is the source of this 6000-nucleotide long non-coding RNA. RefSeq lists it as uncharacterized. The record is from RefSeq and is a predicted model, not a curated record. NCBI's taxonomy places the organism in Eukaryota, Metazoa, Chordata, Mammalia, Artiodactyla, Delphinidae. The transcript is spliced from 2 exons.